GCGCGGCGCUUAUAUAGAAGCGCUGCAUACGGGCAUCGCGUGACCUCUGACGUCAGACGGCCGCCGCGCCCCUGCCUUGUGCUGGGGUCAGGCAGGCGAGGCCGCCCGCCUGAGAGACAGACCAGUCCGCGGGGCAAGGGGAGAGCGGAGAGUGCUGCACCCUCGGGCUGGGCAGGGCCGCCGGGCUCCCUCCGCGCUGUGGUGCCCGUCUGCUGAGCGGAGCCGCAGGGCUGCCAGGGCAUAAUAAAGUCUGAGCCCGCGGGGGGAGUUGUACUGCCUGUGUCACAGCCCAGCGCCGCUGCCCGCGCCGGGGUUGAUAGUGGUGGCCGCAGCCAAGCUCGAGCCUGUGCAGGCAGGGCUGAAUGCCCUACUUGGUAAGGACCUACAAUCACCCAGAAUGUGAUUUUGGACACUUUGUGAGAUCCAGGUGCAGAAACCUCUGAAGUGCACAAUGAGGAGGGAGUAGGGGAGGACAAAGAAAGGGACACAAACCAUUCAGCGAGCCAGGUGUUGUUUGAAACUCAGCUGGCAUCACGACAGUCUUGCUAGCAGCCUCUGGCAUGGUGGCCUUAAGAGAUGCCCCUUCUACGCCUGCUGAACAUUUAACCUUGAUCAGCUAAAGAAAGAAGCGGAUCAGGAAAGAUAUGUUCUGUGAGAUCCUCCAGUCCUGUACAGGUGCUGAUCAUGAGCACAGGGAUUGGAGAAGCCAAAGGUCCUAGAGCAGGGGGAAGAACCAUGAAUGGACAGAGUGGUUACUGAAGGAAUGACAAAGGGACAGAGAGGUACUUCAGUAAUUUCACCAGCACAUACUAUCUUUGCUCAAGCAACAAACACAGAUGUUGCAGAAAAUUAUUGCGCCAACUACCCCAAGACUCCAUACAUAGCAGCUUUUCCGACUCAUGGAAAACUCCAUUUGCUGCUUCCUGUACCCCCAGCAUCACAGAUUGCAGCAUGACAGGAACCCUUUCCUCUAAUCACUCUGUGCUAAGGGAAAAUAAGGACAGCCAUGACUUAAAAACAAGUAGUACACUGUAGUGUAACAUGAAUGAAACAUUGUAAUAUGUUUUUAAUAUGCAAAUA
Molecule: long non-coding RNA, 1080 nt
Organism: Mauremys reevesii (Reeves's turtle)
Lineage: Eukaryota; Metazoa; Chordata; Testudines; Geoemydidae
Exons: 3
Source: RefSeq, a predicted model, not a curated record